RNAcentral lists this ribosomal RNA (1016 nucleotides) under uncultured bacterium. RNAcentral's name for it is "bacterial SSU rRNA". It matches the Rfam family "Bacterial small subunit ribosomal RNA", at positions 357 to 1376 of the family's 1533-position model. The record is from RNAcentral.
AGGAAUAUUGGUCAAUGGACGAGAGUCUGAACCAGCCAAGUAGCGUGAAGGAUGACUGCCCUAUGGGUUGUAAACUUCUUUUAUAUGGGAAUAAAGUGGUCCACGUGUGGAUUUUUGUAUGUACCAUAUGAAUAAGGAUCGGCUAACUCCGUGCCAGCAGCCGCGGUAAUACGGAGGAUCCGAGCGUUAUCCGGAUUUAUUGGGUUUAAAGGGAGCGUAGGUGGACAGUUAAGUCAGUUGUGAAAGUUUGCGGCUCAACCGUAAAAUUGCAGUUGAUACUGGCUGUCUUGAGUACAGUAGAGGUGGGCGGAAUUCGUGGUGUAGCGGUGAAAUGCUUAGAUAUCACGAAGAACUCCGAUUGCGAAGGCAGCCUGCUAAGCUGUAACUGACGUUGAGGCUCGAAAGUGUGGGUAUCAAACAGGAUUAGAUACCCUGGUAGUCCACACGGUAAACGAUGGAUACUCGCUGUUGGCGAUAUACUGUCAGCGGCCAAGCGAAAGCAUUAAGUAUCCCACCUGGGGAGUACGCCGGCAACGGUGAAACUCAAAGGAAUUGACGGGGGCCCGCACAAGCGGAGGAACAUGUGGUUUAAUUCGAUGAUACGCGAGGAACCUUACCCGGGCUUAAAUUGCAGACGAAUUACCUGGAAACAGGUAAGCCGCAAGGCGUCUGUGAAGGUGCUGCAUGGUUGUCGUCAGCUCGUGCCGUGAGGUGUCGGCUUAAGUGCCAUAACGAGCGCAACCCUCGUGGCCAGUUACUAGCAGGUAAUGCUGAGGACUCUGGCCAGACUGCCAUCGUAAGAUGCGAGGAAGGUGGGGAUGACGUCAAAUCAGCACGGCCCUUACGUCCGGGGCUACACACGUGUUACAAUGGGAGGUACAGAAGGCAGCUACCCGGCGACGGGAUGCCAAUCUCCAAAGCCUCUCUCAGUUCGGACUGGAGUCUGCAACCCGACUCCACGAAGCUGGAUUCGCUAGUAAUCGCGCAUCAGCCACGGCGCGGUGAAUACGUUCCCG